This 429-nucleotide ribosomal RNA is filed under the name uncultured archaeon. Its description in RNAcentral is "bacterial SSU rRNA". It matches the Rfam family "Archaeal small subunit ribosomal RNA", at positions 474 to 903 of the family's 1478-position model. The record is from RNAcentral.
UACCAGCUCUCCGAGUGGUAGGGAUGAUUAUUGGGCUUAAAGCGUCCGUAGCCGGCUUAGCAAGUCUCCUGUUAAACUCAGCGACUUAAUCGUUGAAUCGCGGGAGAUACUACUAGGCUAGGAGGCGGGAGAGGUCGACGGUACUUCCGGGGUAGGGGUGAAAUCCUAUAAUCCCGGGAGGACCACCAGUGGCGAAGGCUGUCGACUAGAACGCGCUCGACGGUGAGGGACGAAAGCUGGGGGAGCGAACCGGAUUAGAUACCCGGGUAGUCCCAGCUGUAAACGAUGCGGGCUAGGUGUUGGAAUGGCUACGUGCCAUUUCAGUGCCGCAGGGAAGCCAUUAAGCCCGCCGCCUGGGGAGUACGGCCGCAAGGCUGAAACUUAAAGGAAUUGGCGGGGGAGCACCACAAGGCGUGAAGCUUGCGGUUC